UGAGGCAAGCAUCACUUUGUGGCUCGCUUU
This 30-nucleotide non-coding RNA is filed under the name Rattus norvegicus (Norway rat). Lineage: Eukaryota; Metazoa; Chordata; Mammalia; Rodentia; Muridae. The record is from RNAcentral.